Molecule: long non-coding RNA, 1468 nt
Organism: Pseudophryne corroboree (corroboree frog)
Lineage: Eukaryota; Metazoa; Chordata; Amphibia; Anura; Myobatrachidae
Exons: 3
Source: RefSeq, a predicted model, not a curated record
CGGGGCCAAGAAAAGUGGCCGAAAAGACCAUUGAAAAAUGUCCUGGAAGCGGCACCAGUGUAAGUGCCGCAGCGCCCCUGUCCCUGUGAUUGGGCAUGAGAUAGAGCACUGGCAGUGACUGCAUCCGGCUGCGCUGGACGGGGGAAGAAGGAGCAGCAGCGUCUGCAGCAGCCAGGUCUGUUAUGCACUUGGACACCCUUGCAUCGAUUGCGAUGAAACAAUAUGAGUUGGUCCAGUUGGACCCUGGCUAGGUUUUAUGGGUUUGGGAUCCUGGUCAGACAUCACAGUGAAAUACGCCGGACAAAACUUUGACCCUGGGGAGUCUGUUCUGGGCCUUCCACUGGAUGGAUUUGGAUGAAAACUUCACAGAGUGGUAUUGCGCUCCUUUACCCUUGGUAACCUGCGGGGAAAGUCUCCUCACCUGUGACAUUUGUUUCCGCAUCCUGGAGAAUAACAGUUUGUCAACCUCAUCACAUCACCAACUCAACCAGACUAGGAGAUCCCAGCAUGGACUGUACAUACCUCUCAGCAUCAUAACUGUAUCAAUUCUACACCGUUACAUGUCCCAGUAUACUGUAGUUAUAAGUAUGACUCUAAAACAGGACACUUCGCAAAAUACCAAACAUUUCUGCAGAGAUUCCAAAUUUCCAAAAUGUUUAUCAUUAAACAUUUUCCUUAUUAAGUCAUUUUUAAGUGUACGUGAAACUGCACUAAAUUAACCCAGUUCUGUGCUUAUGCUAAAUUUAGAGAACAUGCUUCAGAGUAUGUGUAAUGAAUUCCACUAGGAAAACAUAUCUAUGUUCCUUGACAGGGUCAGAGGUCACCGAUUUGUCCUCUUAUCUCCGCCUGUAUGUUUAGCUAAAGGGCACUUUACUUCUAAGAUUUCUGAGUAUUUAGCAUUCUAAAGUUUUCCAAUUUGAAAUGUACCCUACUAGAAUAUACUAUAUUAUAUGAUCACCAGAAUUGUAUAAAGUAUAUUAUACACGAAGAACAGUAUUUACAUGUAUUUUGUAUGCGGCAGAACACACCCUGAAAUCUGUAAUACUAAAAUGUAUAAUGUUGAUCGCCAGUUCAAUUUUAAAAUAUUAUUGAUCCAUAAUUCAUAUUAUCAUACUUAAAGUGUUGUCAGUCCUCCAAAAUGGUUGUUUUUGGAAAUGUGCCGCAUUUUGCAGAAUAGGGUCUAUUUUCCUAGGAGUUACCACAACAGGUAUCGGAGAGAUCCUCCUGUUACUGAGAAAGAAACAGUCCCAAUACAGUAAUUGUUUGUGGGGACCAUGAAAAAGCCCUAUUAAUCAAGCUCUGAAAAGUUUAGCUAAUUGGCGCUUGCCCCCUUAGCUAAUUAAUUCCUUCUUUAGAUGGAAUAUUACUUUUCAGGAGUUGCCACAUUUAUAGUUAAGUAGUCCCCUAAAUCUUGAGUAAUCAAACACAAUAUGACACUUCAAAUAAAGAUGCCUGACACAGUUCAGAA